RNAcentral lists this ribosomal RNA (1954 nucleotides) under Phlebia georgica. Its description in RNAcentral is "eukaryotic LSU rRNA". The stretch from base 577 to 1954 matches the Rfam family "Eukaryotic large subunit ribosomal RNA", at positions 1 to 1365 of the family's 3401-position model. Lineage: Eukaryota; Fungi; Basidiomycota; Agaricomycetes; Polyporales; Meruliaceae. The record is from RNAcentral.
GAGAGGGGUUGAUGCUGGCCUCCCGAGGCAUGUGCUCGCCCCGAUCGAAGUCCAUUUUCAACACCUGUGCACAUCUGAGGGGGUUGCGAGUCUCGGGGAGGUCAUCCCUGCUGCUCGCGGCGCCUUUAGCAAUUUUUCACCCACAAACCCUGAUAGUAAACAGAACGUGAUUGCCGCUAGCAGCGGAGAAAUAAUACAACUUUCAACAACGGAUCUCUUGGCUCUCGCAUCGAUGAAGAACGCAGCGAAAUGCGAUAAGUAAUGUGAAUUGCAGAAUUCAGUGAAUCAUCGAAUCUUUGAACGCACCUUGCGCUCCUUGGUAUUCCGAGGAGCAUGCCUGUUUGAGUGUCGUGACUAUCUCAAGCCCCCACGUGCCCUUCUCUCGAAGGGGGUGCGGCCCCGGGGGCUUGGACUUGGGAGCUCUGCCGGUCUGCAAAGUCGGCUCUCCUGGAAUGCAUUAGCUCGAGGUUGGCUCGGAGCGGUUUGCGGCGCGAUAAGUUAUCUGCGUCUCUGUUAGCCCGCGACGAGCCUCGGGACCCCGGCUUCCAGUCGUCUCCGGACAAUUUGCAUCGAAUCUGACCUCAAAUCAGGUAGGACUACCCGCUGAACUUAAGCAUAUCAAUAAGCGGAGGAAAAGAAACUAACAAGGAUUCCCCUAGUAACUGCGAGUGAAGCGGGAAAAGCUCAAAUUUAAAAUCUGGCGGCCUUGCCGUCCGAGUUGUAAUCUGGAGAAGCGUCUUCCGUGCUGGACCGUGUACAAGUCUCUUGGAACAGAGCGUCGUAGAGGGUGAGAAUCCCGUCUUUGACACGGACUGCCAGUGCUCUCUGUGAUGCGCUCUCGAAGAGUCGAGUUGUUUGGGAAUGCAGCUCAAAAUGGGUGGUAAAUUCCAUCUAAAGCUAAAUAUUGGCGAGAGACCGAUAGCGAACAAGUACCGUGAGGGAAAGAUGAAAAGCACUUUGGAAAGAGAGUUAAACAGUACGUGAAAUUGUUGAAAGGGAAACGCUUGAAGUCAGUCGCGUCGUCCGGAACUCAGCCUUGCUUCUGCUCGGUGUACUUUCCGGCUGACGGGCCAACAUCGGUUUUGGCCGGCGGAUAAAGGCGAGGGGAAUGUGGCACCUUCGGGUGUGUUAUAGCCCCUUGUUGCAUACGCCGGCCGGGACCGAGGACCGCAGCACGCCUUCACAGGCCGGGGUUCGCCCACGUAACGUGCUUAGGAUGUUGGCGUAAUGGCUUUAAACGACCCGUCUUGAAACACGGACCAUGGAGUCUAACAUGCCCGCGAGUGUUAGGGUGGAAAACCCUUGCGCGUAAUGAAAGUGAAAGUUGGGACCCUCGUCGUGGGGGGCACCGACGCCCGGCCUUGAACUUCUGUGACGGCGCCGCGGUGGAGCGUGUAUGUUGGGACCCGAAAGAUGGUGAACUAUGCCUGAAUAGGGUGAAGCCAGAGGAAACUCUGGUGGAGGCUCGUAGCGAUUCUGACGUGCAAAUCGAUCGUCAAAUUUGGGUAUAGGGGCGAAAGACUAAUCGAACCAUCUAGUAGCUGGUUCCUGCCGAAGUUUCCCUCAGGAUAGCAGAAACUCGUAUCAGAUUUAUGUGGUAAAGCGAAUGAUUAGAGGCCUUGGGGUUGAAACAACCUUAACCUAUUCUCAAACUUUAAAUAUGUAAGAGCAAGCCGUCUCUUGGUUGGACCGCUUGGCGAUUGAGAGUUUCUAGUGGGCCAUUUUUGGUAAGCAGAACUGGCGAUGCGGGAUGAACCGAACGCGAGGUUAAGGUGCCGGAAUGCACGCUCAUCAGACACCACAAAAGGUGUUAGUCCAUCUAGACAGCAGGACGGUGGCCAUGGAAGUCGGAAUCCGCUAAGGAGUGUGUAACAACUCACCUGCCGCACUGAACUAGCCCUGAAAAUGGGAUGGCGCUCAAGCGUGCUACCCAUACCUCGCCGGUCAGCGUCGA